GCCCUUAGAGUUUGAUCCUGGCUCAGGACGAACGCUGGCGGCGUGCCUAACACAUGCAAGUCGAACGGAGAUUUGAGAGCUUGCUUUCAAAUCUUAGUGGCGGACGGGUGAGUAACGCGUGAGUAACCUGCCUCUCAGAGGGGGAUAACGUCUUGAAAAGGACGCUAAUACCGCAUGAUAUCUUUAUUUCGCAUGGAGUAGAGAUCAAAGGAGCAAUCCGCUGAGAGAUGGACUCGCGUCCGAUUAGCCAGUUGGCGGGGUAACGGCCCACCAAAGCGACGAUCGGUAGCCGGACUGAGAGGUUGAACGGCCACAUUGGGACUGAGACACGGCCCAGACUCCUACGGGAGGCAGCAGUGGGGGAUAUUGCACAAUGGGGGAAACCCUGAUGCAGCAACGCCGCGUGAAGGAAGAAGGUCUUCGGAUUGUAAACUUUUGUCCUCAGUGAAGAUAAUGACGGUAGCUGAGGAGGAAGCUCCGGCUAACUACGUGCCAGCAGCCGCGGUAAUACGUAGGGAGCGAGCGUUGUCCGGAUUUACUGGGUGUAAAGGGUGCGUAGGCGGACUGGCAAGUCAGUGGUGAAAACUAUGGGCUUAACCCAUAGACUGCCAUUGAAACUGUUGGUCUUGAGUGAAGUAGAGGUAGGCGGAAUUCCCGGUGUAGCGGUGAAAUGCGUAGAGAUCGGGAGGAACACCAGUGGCGAAGGCGGCCUACUGGGCUUUAACUGACGCUGGGGCACGAAAGUGUGGGUAGCAAACAGGAUUAGAUACCCUGGUAGUCCACACCGUAAACGAUGAUUACUAGGUGUGGGGGGUCUGACCCCCUCCGUGCCGGAGUUAACACAAUAAGUAAUCCACCUG
This 860-nucleotide ribosomal RNA is filed under the name uncultured Bacillota bacterium. RNAcentral describes it as "bacterial SSU rRNA". It matches the Rfam family "Bacterial small subunit ribosomal RNA", at positions 1 to 875 of the family's 1533-position model. The record is from RNAcentral. Lineage: Bacteria; Bacillati; Bacillota.